CCAUAGAUCGUACUUCCGGUCGUACGUUGUUUAGGUCGAGCUGUUGAGGUAGACAGGAAAGCUAUGCUGAGGAAAAAAUAAUUUAAAAUCGUAUUUAGGGGCGCUUUGAACGUGGGAUUACGAUUUAUUUAAUGAUGACAGAUAACUUUAGUUUUUGUUACCAAAAUGUUGUGAGAAAAUGCAAUAAUUUUUUCAUGAAAGGCUCAUCAUGGGAGGAGUGCUUAGGACUUUAUGUGGAGAAAGUGCAGGUGGGAGUUGUACGUAAGGAUAUAGUCGAGAAGCUUGUGCAGUUCCCUGAUAUAUUUGAGGUUGUGAAGGCUGACAGUGAAGGGAAUGAAAAACCACCUGGUGUCUACCUGUCACAAUACUUGCUGCUACCUGAAGACAGAACAAAAGCACUGGAUCAUGUAAUGAGAGUACUCAGGCAACAAGAUGAACUAGUUGCUCUGAGAGGAUGGCGAGAUGAGAUGUACAACGUUAUGAGGACAUUUUCAGGCCGACCCUACUUUCAGGUGGAGCGAGCUGCAUCAUCUUUGAUUGGUGUGAUGACAUAUGGGGUGCACAUCAAUGGCUAUACAUACAGUCCAGAUGGAAAGCUGAUGAUGUGGAUUGGUCAUAGGUCCAAAAGCAAACCUACGUACCCGGACAUGUAUGACAACAUGAGUGCUGGCGGGUUGACAGCAGGCCUGUCAGUGAUGGAGUGUGCAUUAAAAGAAUGCUCAGAAGAAGCAGCAGUGCCAGAUGAGCACCUAAAACACCUGAAACAAGUUGGACUUGUUAGUUGCUGUUAUGAGAAUGAAAAAGGAGUGUUUCCGGAGAACUUGUUUGUCUUUGAUCUUGAGUUGCCUGCAGAUUUCAAACCAGUGAACAGAGAUGGUGAGAUGGACACUUUCUACCUCCUGCCACUGGACAAGGUGCUGAAACAAUUAUGGUGAUGGCUCUAUGGGAUUUUACAGGUCAAAGAACUGAUCAUUGGGGAUGGCUUCAAACCCAACUGUGCAUUAGUCAUACUUGACUUUUUUAUUCGACAUGGCAUCAUUACUGCAGACUCUGAGCCUAACUACUGCUUAUUAGUUGAGC
This 1080-nucleotide unclassified non-coding RNA is filed under the name Pomacea canaliculata. RNAcentral describes it as "nudix hydrolase 20, chloroplastic-like, transcript variant X1". Lineage: Eukaryota; Metazoa; Mollusca; Gastropoda; Architaenioglossa; Ampullariidae. The record is from RNAcentral.